AAAAAGACAAACCCUGAGUUUCCGUGUCUAACGUUUGAUUGUCCGUCUUAUAUGAAAUUUUUUUAUAAUUAGUAUUUUCAUUGUUGUUAGAUGAUAAAACAUGAUUAAUACUUUAUGCGUGACUUAUAUUUUUAAUUUUUUUUCUAAUUUUUUUAAAUAAGACGGACGGUCAAAUGUAGGACACGGAAACUCAGGGUUUGUCUUUUU
Oryza nivara is the source of this 207-nucleotide non-coding RNA. The record is from Rfam. NCBI's taxonomy places the organism in Eukaryota, Viridiplantae, Streptophyta, Magnoliopsida, Poales, Poaceae.